UGCCGCGCUAUGCGUUCGAGGAUGAUCCACGGACAUACUUCCGCGACCUCCGUGCAAAAAAGCCCCUCGUAUACUAGUGCUAACUCGUCCUCGGUAUGUUCCACCUCACGUAAGUACGCCGUGUACAUGCGUACGAGUAUUCGUGUAUGGUGGUAUUUGUGUCCGUACGGUUUAGUGCUAUUAUGUUGUGUAUGUAUGCAGGCAGGAUGCGUAUGCAAGUUUAAGAAUCUCUAUUCCUAAUUGCUUGUAAAUACGUUUUUUUGUUACAUGGUUUUUUCGGAAACGCUUCCAGCCGGGGUUUGACAAGGGCUUGCAAUAUUUUUUCGUUCAUAUUUACUUCAACCACAUUUAAAUUUGUUACAACCUUUUCUUAUUUUGUUACAAUUUGUCCAUUGAAAAGUUACAUUCACGUUUUGUUGCAACUCGAGUUUGUUGAAUUUUUUCUGCUUCAACCGGCAUUUGAUUUUACUUACAACCGUGUUAAUUUUUGCUAUAACCGGUAUCAUUUUUUGGUGUAACCGUUCAUUCAAAAAGUUGCAUACACAUUCGUGAGAGUUGUAACCCAAGUUCAUAGGAUUGUUUUGCUACAAC
RNAcentral lists this long non-coding RNA (591 nucleotides) under Hordeum vulgare. RNAcentral's name for it is "long non-coding RNA (HVUL_LNC003280)". Lineage: Eukaryota; Viridiplantae; Streptophyta; Magnoliopsida; Poales; Poaceae. The record is from RNAcentral.